This 94-nucleotide non-coding RNA is filed under the name uncultured Negativibacillus sp. Its description in RNAcentral is "SAM riboswitch (S box leader)". It matches the Rfam family "SAM riboswitch aptamer (S box leader)". Rfam says of the family: The SAM riboswitch is found upstream of a number of genes which code for proteins involved in methionine or cysteine biosynthesis in Gram-positive bacteria. Lineage: Bacteria; Bacillati; Bacillota. The record is from RNAcentral.
CUUAUCAAGAGUGAUGGAGGGGACAGGCCCUGUGAAGUCCGGCAACCUGCGUAAUGCAAGGUGCCAAAUCCUGCGGUGCAACCGAGAGAUGAGG